This 164-nucleotide ribosomal RNA is filed under the name uncultured bacterium. RNAcentral's name for it is "partial 16S rRNA". It matches the Rfam family "Bacterial small subunit ribosomal RNA", at positions 355 to 511 of the family's 1533-position model. The record is from RNAcentral.
UAGGGAAUCUUCCACAAUGGGCGAAAGCCUGAUGGAGCAACACCGCGUGAGUGAAGAAGGGUUUCGGCUCGUAAAGCUCUGUUGUUAGAGAAGAACGUGCGUGAGAGCAACUGUUCACGCAGUGACGGUAUCUAACCAGAAAGUCACGGCUAACUACGUGCCAC